AUUGAACGCUGGCGGCAGGCCUAACACAUGCAAGUCGAGCGGAUGAAGGGAGCUUGCUCCUGGAUUCAGCGGCGGACGGGUGAGUAAUGCCUAGGAAUCUGCCUGGUAGUGGGGGAUAACGUCCGGAAACGGGCGCUAAUACCGCAUACGUCCUGAGGGAGAAAGUGGGGGAUCUUCGGACCUCACGCUAUCAGAUGAUCCUAGGUCGGAUUAGCUAGUUGGUGGGGUAAAGGCCUACCAAGGCGACGAUCCGUAACUGGUCUGAGAGGAUGAUCAGUCACCCUGGAACUGAGACACGGUCCAGACUCCUACGGGAGGCAGCAGUGGGGAAUAUUGGACAAUGGGCGAAAGCCUGAUCCAGCCAUGCCGCGUGUGUGAAGAAGGUCUUCGGAUUGUAAAGCACUUUAAGUUGGGAGGAAGGGCAGUAAGUUAAUACCUUGCUGUUUUGACGUUACCAACAGAAUAAGCACCGGCUAACUUCGUG
RNAcentral lists this ribosomal RNA (484 nucleotides) under uncultured bacterium. RNAcentral's name for it is "partial 16S ribosomal RNA". It matches the Rfam family "Bacterial small subunit ribosomal RNA", at positions 30 to 507 of the family's 1533-position model. The record is from RNAcentral.